RNAcentral lists this transfer RNA (82 nucleotides) under Phocaeicola intestinalis. RNAcentral's name for it is "tRNA-OTHER". The record is from RNAcentral. Lineage: Bacteria; Pseudomonadati; Bacteroidota; Bacteroidia; Bacteroidales; Bacteroidaceae. RNAcentral also lists the same sequence under 1 other name.
CGGGCAGUGUUUCGUAAUGGGAGAAUGGCAGUCCCACCCUACGAGGUUGAACAAGAUGCCGGUUCGAAUCCGGUCUGCCCGG